GCAUGCCCCGCUGCUUGGGCUGCUCGAUGAUCUCCACAUAGGGGCCAGAGGCCUGCGCCCGGCUCUGCAGGGGACAUGCGGGCCAGGCCCAUCAGCCGGCUGACCCCAUCGCUCCUGACCCUGGGAGCUCCUCCCGACCCACUGAGAAAGGAUGGUCCACUUACCUGCAGGGAAGAUGAGGGGAAGAGGUCUGAAAGGAGAGGGAGACAAGGGUCAGCAGGAGCCCACAUCCUGUCCUCAUCAGGGAAGGCCCGCUUCCCUGAGGUGAGAGGGAGCCAGGCUCCUUCUCUGGGACAGUCAGGGCCUGCUACCUGGAACCUUCAGGGAAACUAGGGGCGUGGGUAAUGGAGCCAGAAGCACCCUUUCCUGAGGGAAACCAGGGAUGGCCGCCUCCCUCCACCAGGGAAACUGAGUCACGGCCUUUUCUGUUUUAAGUUACACUAAGGGAGGCACCCCACUAUCCCUAGAGGAAACUGAGUCAGAUACAUUCUCCUCUAACAAGGAAACUAAGUUGAACUGCCCAAGCCCCCACCCCGGGUCCUGGGGAAACUGAGUCAACGCUCCCUCCAACAACCCACACCCAGGGGAAACUGAGUCAGACCCCCGAUGCCCGCCCCGCCCCGCGCCACCAUCCGGCCGGCCGCUCCUGCGCAGCGCCCAUCGGCGUACGAAGGGUCAGAAGGGAGAGGGCCUCCCGCCGCGGUCCCCGCGGCCCCAGCGCCGCCAUCCCGCGGGGUCAGGGGCGCCCUCACCGUCCAUGGCCGGGGUCCCGGGGCGGGGCCGGGGUCGCAGCUGGGCCCGCGGCGCGCGCUACUGUCGAGCCAUUCGCCAGAGGCGGAAAUGCGCCGCGCGCGCCCGCCGCCGCGUCACUGCCGGGAAUCCGACCGCGCCUGCGCAAUGCGUCUCCGUCGCCCUCGUCUGCGCCGCGGUGCCGCCGCCACUGGGAGAGAUUCAGGGGCGAACGCGCGCCGCGCGGAGGACAGACAGGCCGCGUGCAGGGUGGACAGCCUGCUUGCGCCGCCGCUGCCGGCGACCCGGAGCUAGUGCGCGCCACGCCGGGCACCGACAGGCAGCUCGCCGGGAGGCCGCUCCGGGGCUGGCGGGGCAGCUCGGCUCGCUCCCGAGUCUGGGCCCCGCCUGGAGGGCGGGGCCUGCGAUUACUCACUAUGUUUUAGGGAUUUCGGGGCCUCCUCCCGCCGAUCGGAGGAGUUUGGUGAUGUCACCCCGAGCCGGUCUGGAGCCAAGCUAGGCUGCCGGGCUUUGACCGCCCGCCCCGCGCAGGAAAGGCUCCGGCCUGCUUCGCCCGCAAAGGCCAGGUGGCUCAACUCUUCACGGUUUCCUAGUCAAUAAAAGUGCUUCUUGAUGCUUAUUGCCGCAUAAGCACUUUUAAUUUCCAGUCCACCCCAGUCUGGAUGCAACGAGGAAAAGAGAAGCGGCCUGGACCUCCCCACCUGGCAGUACUCGGAUCGUGGCCUCGCGGAGCCUGCUGCACGUUAGCGUGAUCAGAGGCUCCGCGCCGCGUCCGCUCGCGCAGUACCCGCAGGCUCGUCGGUUUAAGAUCAUCCACACUGCCGACCCUCGGGGCAGUGGGUGGACAGGGUAGUCACCCAGGGUAAAUCUCUGGAGCUCGUCUCUGCAGCCUGACACCUCUGUUCCGUUUGAACUCCUUACCCGCCCCUCCUCCCAGGGCUUCCUGCUGGGGUCCAAGAGUUUCUCAAAGCAUUUCCACUAAUUAACUGUCUCUGUGACUCCUCGCCGAGGGUAUCGUCCCCAAGGUUUAACCCCAUACAAGCACGUACGAGCGGGUUGGGGGUCGGGCUGGAGCACACACCGCCCCGGGAGGAUUUUUCAUCCCACAGUGAGGAUGCUCCAAGGCUGGCGGCAGUCUUCCCCAGAUGCAGGAAGGCUUUUAUUUUCUCUAAGUUCGUUCUAAAUUAGGGAAUCGUGUGGAAUUGGAAAAGAUUGAAAUUCUGACUUGCUUUCCCAGGCUCAAAAAAACAGGAAGAGAAAAGUGAAAACAGUUAACCACCCUCCCACUCAUUUCGGUUUCAUGUGGCUGCCCCGGAUUAGAAAAGGCACCUUACUCUUUCUGAGGAGGCAGUCGUCAGGAAGAAAGAGUGGAUUAAUUAUAAUCUUCGAUUAAUGACACAAUCAUCAUUGAGGCUAGCAUGGUCCUCCUUUUAAAAUUUAGAUAUGUAUACCUUUCAGAUUAAUACGAGUUCCACUGCACCCACUGCAAAACUCAAGAGGCUGGAUGGAAAAGCUUCAGAACUUAUAUCUACCCACCUGCUCCUCACCUGUUCAUCUUCUCCUUAUCCCAGUGUCUAGGUGCCAUCAUCCACAAUUCUGUAUUUGUUGUUCCUUUGAUUUUUCUAAAUAAAAUUUAAAGAAAAAAAUUAUAUAUACAUGAUGUUUGUUUUGCUUAGUUUUGAACUGUAAGAGAGAUGGUAU
Molecule: long non-coding RNA, 2451 nt
Filed under: Bos grunniens (domestic yak)
Lineage: Eukaryota; Metazoa; Chordata; Mammalia; Artiodactyla; Bovidae
Description: lncRNA (ENSBGRG00000022504.1)
Source: RNAcentral